AUACUUAACUGGCAGGGGAGAUAACAUGAGCAAGAAGGUGAUUUUUCCCAAAGUGAGGAUUACCCAUUGUACUUCUGAUAUACUGACCACUGUAUUUUCCAUAAGUGAAUAAUACUCCACUGACUGCAUGAUUUGUUGUAUUGGGGGGUGUUUGUGUUCUCCCCUG
Molecule: small nuclear RNA, 166 nt
Organism: Octodon degus (degu)
Lineage: Eukaryota; Metazoa; Chordata; Mammalia; Rodentia; Octodontidae
Gene: U1
Rfam family: U1 spliceosomal RNA
About the family: U1 is a small nuclear RNA (snRNA) component of the spliceosome (involved in pre-mRNA splicing). Its 5' end forms complementary base pairs with the 5' splice junction, thus defining the 5' donor site of an intron. There are significant differences in sequence and secondary structure between metazoan and yeast U1 snRNAs, the latter being much longer (568 nucleotides as compared to 164 nucleotides in human).
Source: Ensembl